Molecule: long non-coding RNA, 440 nt
Filed under: Homo sapiens (human)
Lineage: Eukaryota; Metazoa; Chordata; Mammalia; Primates; Hominidae
Description: non-protein coding CSMD2-AS1:14
Source: RNAcentral
CUGAGAGUUGCUUUUCAGCACUUUCUGCCCAUGUAUUUGUUCAGCAAAUUCUCUGAUUCCUAAGCCAGGAGCCAUCCCGUGAGGCCGUUACUGCAAACAAGCUGAAAAUCCUGCUUUGUUUCUUUUGGACACAACAUGCUUUCCUUCAGCUUCAGUAGACGAUGAGGCCAGCACCACAUGGGCUAGAUGUACAUGAGAUGUGAGCAACCACACUUCCCCUCUGACGGGGACAGACAGCAUCACAGGCUGAGCUCUGAAACUUCUCCUGGCAGUUCAAGAGAGCGAUGGAGGGAAUGCUGGGGCACAUCUAAAUAAAGCCUCCAAGUGGGAGUUCCUGCUCAGCUAUGCAUGAGCUCUUUGUGACUUCAUCUCCCAGCCUACAACUUGUGAAAUAAGCACGACUUCACUCAGAGCACAGCCAGAAACAUACAAACUUUCCA